RNAcentral lists this long non-coding RNA (677 nucleotides) under Arabidopsis lyrata. RNAcentral's name for it is "long non-coding RNA (ALYR_LNC000127)". The record is from RNAcentral. Lineage: Eukaryota; Viridiplantae; Streptophyta; Magnoliopsida; Brassicales; Brassicaceae.
AGCCCAAUAAUAGUGAGGCCACAAGUUUUUAAUAUAUCUUUAGUGGGUCUUCUUCGUUUAGGCUUCGUUGUAACCGUGCUUCGCUGUAUUUUUCUUUGUGCUGAAUUUUGCCUUAGUGUCUCUCCGGUUCGAUCUCUUGCCGUGCUUGUGUGAGUUUGGUGUGACCCGGUUGGAUUUAUGAUCGCUCCUUGUCUCUACUCAAAAGAUCUGAUCGAGAUCUGCUCAAUUUAAAGGUUUCUACCGAGACGUUUAAAAGUCGUGGUUCUUUCGACAUCGUCGUUUCCGGGAGAAGUGUGAGGAUCUAGACAUUUUUGUCUGAAUCCAUCUUGCUGGAUUAGAAGCUCAAGAGCGCAUAGGUUGUGAGGUAGUUUUUAUUCGCUAUAGGAGGAUUUGCUUGUCGUUAAUUGUUUUUCCGACUUGCAGUUUGGUUUAGGCUUUCCAGAAAUUAGAAAAUCAUGUGGAUGAAGUGUGGUUACUUACUUUCGGGCUUGAAUGUUUGGCCUUUGCUUUCGUACGUUGGUUUAGUUUUUGGUAUAUGCGUAUGCUUUUCCGGGAUAUUUUCAUUUUCUCGGCUUUACUUCCGGAGGUUUUAGUCCUGCCGGUUCAUGUAAUAUUUGCUGUAGAAUAUAAUAAAUUUUUGAGAUAAAAAAAAAAAAACUCAUUUUAUAUAUUAAAGA